Triticum aestivum (bread wheat) is the source of this 124-nucleotide non-coding RNA. NCBI's taxonomy places the organism in Eukaryota, Viridiplantae, Streptophyta, Magnoliopsida, Poales, Poaceae. The record is from Rfam.
CAUGUACUCCCUCCAUCCCAAAAUAUUUGUAGGAGAAAUGGAUAAAAAUGGAUGUAUCUAGAACUAAAAUACGUCUAGGUACAUCUAUUUCUUUACAAGUAUUUUCGGACGAAGGGCGCAGAUG